CGACCGUCGAACACGUGACAGAAUGCUGCCGCGGAGGCGCUUGCCGCCCCCUCGGCCCCGCCGGCCUCCUCCCUCUCGCCCUUCCGGGCGCGUUGGUUGCUGGCCGGAAUACGGCGCGGGAUGACGCCAAGGAACACGGUAAAGCUGAGGCGCCGGCGAGCCGCUCGAGGUCUCCGUCGGUUGCCAAGGCCAACAGAAAAAAAAAAUAUGACUCUCGGCAACGGAUAUCUCGGCUCUCGCAUCGAUGAAGAACGUAGCGAAAUGCGAUACGUGGUGUGAAUUGCAGAAUCCCGUGAACCAUCGAGUCUUUGAACGCAAGUUGCGCCCGAGGGACCCUCCCGAGGGCACGCCUGCCUCAUGGGCGUUAGAAGCCCAUCCACGCUCGGUUGCCUAACUAACGGCAGAGAUGCGGACAUUGGCCCUCCGAACCGCGAGGCGCGGUGRGCCUAAGUGUGCGGCCGUCGUACGUGGCCGGGAGCGGCGAGUGGUGGGCUACUGCGCACGUUGCCCCGAGCCCCGUACCGACGCAGGGCCUUGUACGACCCCCUAACGAGGAGCAAGCCGCUGCGGCUCCGGCUGCRCGGCGCCUUCGGACCGAUACCCCAGGUCAGG
This 612-nucleotide small RNA is filed under the name Carex exsiccata. RNAcentral describes it as "eukaryotic LSU rRNA". The stretch from base 210 to 364 matches the Rfam family "5.8S ribosomal RNA". Lineage: Eukaryota; Viridiplantae; Streptophyta; Magnoliopsida; Poales; Cyperaceae. The record is from RNAcentral.